GCGGUUGUAGCGCAGUCUGGCAGCGCGUCACCCCGCCACGGUGAAGGCCGCCGGUUCGAAUCCGGCCAACCGCUCCG
RNAcentral lists this transfer RNA (77 nucleotides) under Micromonospora krabiensis. RNAcentral describes it as "tRNA_Gly_GCC". It matches the Rfam family "tRNA". From Rfam's summary of the family: Transfer RNA (tRNA) molecules are approximately 80 nucleotides in length. Their secondary structure includes four short double-helical elements and three loops (D, anti-codon, and T loops). Further hydrogen bonds mediate the characteristic L-shaped molecular structure. tRNAs have two regions of fundamental functional importance: the anti-codon, which is responsible for specific mRNA codon recognition, and the 3' end, to which the tRNAs corresponding amino acid is attached (by aminoacyl-tRNA synthetases). tRNAs cope with the degeneracy of the genetic code in two manners: having more than one tRNA (with a specific anti-codon) for a particular amino acid; and 'wobble' base-pairing, i.e. permitting non-standard base-pairing at the 3rd anti-codon position. The record is from RNAcentral. Lineage: Bacteria; Bacillati; Actinomycetota; Actinomycetes; Micromonosporales; Micromonosporaceae.